RNAcentral lists this long non-coding RNA (927 nucleotides) under Homo sapiens (human). RNAcentral describes it as "non-protein coding lnc-ZNF705E-1:20". The record is from RNAcentral. Lineage: Eukaryota; Metazoa; Chordata; Mammalia; Primates; Hominidae.
ACAUGAGCUGGUGAAACAUGAAGAAAAUGGCCUGGUCUUUGAGGACUCAGAGGAACUGGCAGCUCAGCUGCAGAUGCUUUUCUCAAACUUUCCUGAUCCUGCAGGCAAGCUAAACCAGUUCUGGAAGAACCUGCGGGAGUCGCAGCAGCUCUGAUGGGAUGAGAGCUGGGUGCAGACUGUGCUCCCUUUGGUUAUGGACACAUAACUCCUGGGCCAGAGGCUAAAACCCCAGGGCCCCUGCUGUCCUUCCCGCAGCUUCUUCUUGGUGUCUCAGGGCAAACCCUUUCGAGCAGCGCCUCCCAGUGGCCGGAAGCUGAAAUGAAGGCAGUGGUGCCACCUGGUGAAUGACUCGGGAAGCUGUGGUUGGCCCUGAUUUCUUCUUUGGAGUCUCUGAAACGCUUCCUGUCUUCUGUUCUUCACGCCCCAUGCCCCUGCUAGCGUAUUACUGUUCUGUGACUUCCCUGUGACCUCUGCAGUACUCCUUACCCUGCAUUUGGUCUCCAGGUGUCACCUUUCUGCCAUGUUCCUAACACUUUGAUUCCUGUCUUGAAAAAAGCACCUGCUGCAUCAUAAACCCAGGGAUGUGGCAGCUGCAGCCGGCUUGGCUUUUUGAGGAACCGAGUGUGUCCAGGGAUGUGGCAGCUGCAGCGGGCUUGGCUUUGUGAGGAAACGAGUGUGUCCAGGGAUGUGGCAGCUGCAGCGGGCUUGGCUUUGUGAGGAAACGAGUGUGUCCAGGGAUGUGGCAGCUGCAGCGGGCUUGGCUUUGUGAGGAACCGAGUGUGUCCAGGGAUGUGGCAGCUGCAGCGGGCUUGGCUUUGUGAGGAAACGAGUGUGUCCAGGGAUGUGGCAGCUGCAGCGGGCUUGGCUUUGUGAGGAACCAAGUGUGUCCACGUUGGGGGAAUGUCAUACUUGAUACACACGUUUUUA